RNAcentral lists this microRNA precursor (68 nucleotides) under Pelodiscus sinensis (Chinese soft-shelled turtle). RNAcentral describes it as "mir-8/mir-141/mir-200 microRNA precursor family". It matches the Rfam family "mir-8/mir-141/mir-200 microRNA precursor family". From Rfam's summary of the family: The bounds of the precursors are predicted based on conservation and base pairing and are not generally known. The record is from Rfam by way of RNAcentral. Lineage: Eukaryota; Metazoa; Chordata; Testudines; Trionychidae.
GUGGACAUCUUACUAGACAGUGCUGGAUUUUUGGAUCUACUCUAACACUGUCUGGUAACGAUGUUUAA